AGAGUUUGAUCCUGGCUCAGAAUGAACGUUGGCGGCGUGGAUUAGGCAUGCAAGUCGAGCGCCCCGCAAGGGGAGUGGCGCAAGGGUGAGUAAGGCGACGGUAACCAACCCCACGAAUGGGAAUAGCCGCGGGAAACUGCGGGUAAUGCCCAGCGACGUCACGAGGAGGCAUCUCCCCGUGACCAAAGCUCCGGCGUCGUGGGACGGGCCGUCGUGGUAUUAGCUAGUUGGCGGGGUGAUGGCCCACCAAGGCUGCGAUGCCUACCGGGCGUGCGAGCGUGGCCCGGCACACUGGGACUGAGACACUGCCCAGACUCCUACGGGAGGCUGCAGUCGAGAAUCUUCGGCAAUGGGCGCAAGCCUGACCGAGCGACGCCGCGUGGAGGACGAAGGCCUUCGGGUUGUAAACUCCUGUCGAGGGGGAGGAAGCCGCAAGGUUGACCGAUCCCUGGAGGAAGCACGGGCUAAGUUCGUGCCAGCAGCCGCGGUAAGACGAACCGUGCGAACGUUAUUCGGAAUCACUGGGCUUAAAGCGCGUGUAGGCGGGACGGUGCGUCGGUCGCUGAAAUCCCCCGGCUCAACCGGGGAACGGGCGCCGAUACGGCCGUCCUGGAGGGAGGUAGGGGGAGCUGGAACUUCCGGUGGAGCGGUGAAAUGCGUUGAGAUCGGAAGGAACGCCCGCGGCGAAAGCGAGCUCCUGGACCUCUUCUGACGCUGAGACGCGAAAGCCACGGGAGCGAACGGGAUUAGAUACCCCGGUAGUCC
This 765-nucleotide ribosomal RNA is filed under the name uncultured bacterium. RNAcentral describes it as "bacterial SSU rRNA". It matches the Rfam family "Bacterial small subunit ribosomal RNA", at positions 8 to 796 of the family's 1533-position model. The record is from RNAcentral.